CAAGAGGUGAGCUUGCCUGCA
Molecule: unclassified non-coding RNA, 21 nt
Filed under: Mus musculus (house mouse)
Lineage: Eukaryota; Metazoa; Chordata; Mammalia; Rodentia; Muridae
Description: oocyte_clustered_small_RNA8588
Source: RNAcentral